This 323-nucleotide ribosomal RNA is filed under the name uncultured eukaryote. Its description in RNAcentral is "partial 18S ribosomal RNA". It matches the Rfam family "Eukaryotic small subunit ribosomal RNA", at positions 1470 to 1796 of the family's 1831-position model. The record is from RNAcentral.
CCCUUAGAUGUUCUGGGCCGCACGCGUGCUACACUGAGUGGAUCAGCGGGUCAGGUUGCGCGAAAGCGUUUCCUAAUCUUUAAAUCCACUCGUGAUGGGGAUUGACGGUUGCAAUUUUCUGUCAUGAACGAGGAAUACCUUGUAAGCGCGGGUCAUCAUCCCGCGCUGAAUACGUCCCUGCCCUUUGUACACACCGCCUGUCGCUACUACCGAUUGAAUGGCUUAGUGAGAUUUCCGGAUCGGCGUUGGGGAGCCGGCAACGGCACCCCUUGGCUGAGAAGUUACUCAAACUUGGUCAUUUAGAGGAAGUAAAAGUCAUAACA